CACGUAGGGUGCGAGCGUUGUCCGGAAUUAUUGGGCGUAAAGAGCUCGUAGGCGGUCUGUUGCGUCAGGAGUGAAAACUCGGGGCUUAACCCCGAGCCUGCUUCUGAUACGGGCAGACUAGAGGUAUGCAGGGGAGAACGGAAUUCCUGGUGUAGCGGUGAAGUGCGCAGAUAUCAGGAGGAACACCGGUGGCGAAGGCGGUUCUCUGGGCAUUACCUGACGCUGAGGAGCGAAAGUGUGGGGAGCGAACAGG
This 253-nucleotide ribosomal RNA is filed under the name uncultured bacterium. RNAcentral describes it as "partial 16S ribosomal RNA". It matches the Rfam family "Bacterial small subunit ribosomal RNA", at positions 524 to 776 of the family's 1533-position model. The record is from RNAcentral.